AUACCCUGGUAGUCCACGCCGUAAACGAUGUCGACUUGGAGGUUGUGCCCUUGAGGCGUGGCUUCCGGAGCUAACGCGUUAAGUCGACCGCCUGGGGAGUACGGCCGCAAGGUUAAAACUCAAAUGAAUUGACGGGGGCCCGCACAAGCGGUGGAGCAUGUGGUUUAAUUCGAUGCAACGCGAAGAACCUUACCUACUCUUGACAUCCAGAGAACUUAGCAGAGAUGCUUUGGUGCCUUCGGGAACUCUGAGACAGGUGCUGCAUGGCUGUCGUCAGCUCGUGUUGUGAAAUGUUGGGUUAAGUCCCGCAACGAGCGCAACCCUUAUCCUUUGUUGCCAGCGGUUAGGCCGGGAACUCAAAGGAGACUGCCAGUGAUAAACUGGAGGAAGGUGGGGAUGACGUCAAGUCAUCAUGGCCCUUACGAGUAGGGCUACACACGUGCUACAAUGGCGCAUACAAAGAGAAGCGACCUCGCGAGAGCAAGCGGACCUCAUAAACUGCGUCGUAGUCCGGAUUGGAGUCUGCAACUCGACUCCAUGAAGUUGGAAUCGCUAGUAAUCGUAGAUCAGAAUUAUACGG
RNAcentral lists this ribosomal RNA (580 nucleotides) under Enterobacter cancerogenus. RNAcentral describes it as "bacterial SSU rRNA". It matches the Rfam family "Bacterial small subunit ribosomal RNA", at positions 782 to 1362 of the family's 1533-position model. The record is from RNAcentral. Lineage: Bacteria; Pseudomonadati; Pseudomonadota; Gammaproteobacteria; Enterobacterales; Enterobacteriaceae.